Molecule: ribosomal RNA, 406 nt
Filed under: uncultured bacterium
Lineage: Bacteria
Description: partial 16S ribosomal RNA
Rfam family: Bacterial small subunit ribosomal RNA
Source: RNAcentral
AUUGAACGCUGGCGGCAGGCCUAACACAUGCAAGUCGAGCGAGCGGCGGACGGGCGAGUAAUGCCUAGGAAACUGCCUGAUGGAGGGGGCUAACUACUGGACACGGUAGCUAAUACCGCAUACUAUCUGAUGUGCCUAGAUGGUCUUCGCUAGUUGGUGUGGUAACGGCUCACCUAGGCGACGAUCCCUAGCUGCUCUGAGUGGAUGACCAGCCACAAUGGAACUGAGACACGGUCCAGACUCCUACGGGAGGCAGCAGUGGGGAAUAUUGCACAAUGGGCGCAAGCCUGAUGCAGCCAUGCCGCGUGUGUGAAGAAGGCCGUCGGGUUGUAAAGCACUUUCAGCGGGGAGGCGUUACCCGCAGAAGAAGCACCGGCUAACUCCGUGCCAGCAGCCGCGGUAAUUC